CAGCUGAAUAGCUUUUCUUAAAACCUGGACAUUCACCAAAAAGAAGUUUGCCAGCACAGACAAUUAAGCUUUCUUCUUUGAACAAUGGAGUGACUGACUGGCACAUUUGAAAUGCAAGCGUGUUUUUUUAUUCCACUGUUCAUCCUUCAAGCUGAUAAACAGCAACAAUGGGAAACAGCUGGGACAGGAAAACAUUUGAGUUUGUAUUUUCAAAGCAAGCAAGAAAGAAACCCGUCAGUGUGGGCCAGAUCCCGUCUUCCGCCUGAGGGUGAGGAAAUGGAAGCACAGUGAGUAACUUGCCCAAGGUCACUGUCUUUGCUGCUCAGUUGAUCAGGUAAUUGACUUCCAGGAAAUUAGAGAUCUACUAACAAGGUACCCUGGGCCUGCAUGGAAAAUAUGACGUCAAGAUAGAUUUCCUGGCAAAGGCCAACUUAUUACAACAUUCCACUUAGAAAAAAAAAUCUAUGCACUUAAAAAAAACCACAGCCAGGCACAGUGACUCAUACCUAUAAUACUAGCAUUUUGGGAGGCUCAGGCAGGAGGAUUGCAUUAAACCAGGAGUUUGAGACCAGCCUUGGUAACACAGCAAGACUGUCUCUACAAAAAAUAUUUAAAAAAACAGCCAUGCACGGCGGUGCACACCUGUAGUUCUAGCUACUUGGGAGGCUGAGGUGGGAGGAUAGUUUGAGCCCGGGAGUUCGAGGCUUCAGUAAGCUAUGACUGCACCACUGCACUCCAGCCUGGGUGACAGAGUGAGACCCUGUAUCAAAAUACAAAAACAAAAAAAACCAACACACUUGUUUUCUGGAAGGUUUUACCUCUAUACUACCACUGUCCUUCAGAAUCAUGGGUUUUCCUUAAGUAGCAGGGAAUAACCAUGUUGAUUACUAAGUCGUAGGCCAGAAGGAAAGAACUUGACUUGGGAUUUCCUGAAUUUAUCACAGCGUACCUUCUUUCAUAGGCUAAAACUGUGUCUUAGGUUUAAUGAACUAUGUG
RNAcentral lists this long non-coding RNA (996 nucleotides) under Rhinopithecus bieti (black snub-nosed monkey). RNAcentral's name for it is "lncRNA (ENSRBIG00000046460.1)". Lineage: Eukaryota; Metazoa; Chordata; Mammalia; Primates; Cercopithecidae. The record is from RNAcentral.